AAGGGGGGAAUUAAUAAAAAAAGAUUAUAAAAAAAAUUUUUAAAAAUAUUUUGGGGGGUUAAAGUAUUUUUAUAGAAAAAAUUUUAAGAUUUAUAAAGAAUUAGUAUUGUAAAAGAAAUUUGAAAAAUUAUGAAAAAUAAUAUAUUUAAAAGUAAAUUUAAGUUAUUGUAUCUUGUGUAUCAGAGUUUAUUAAAAAAAUAAUUUAAGAAAAUUAAUUUCGAAUUUAAAAGAGAUAAUUAAUUAAAAAAGUUAAUGUUACAUAAUUAUUUUUAAUAAUUAAUUGGAAAUGAAAAGUUAAUCGUUUUUAAAGAUAUCUAGUUUUUUUAGAAAAAAAUUAAAUUUUAAAUUAAAAAUUUUUUAAUAAUUAAUUUAUUAAUUAUUAAAAAUUUUAAUUAAAUAUUUUAGGGGAUAAGCUUUAAAUUAAAAAUUUAUAAUAAAAAUAAAAAUAAUUGAAAUUUUUAAAAUUUAUAUUUUUUAAAAAUUAUAAUUUAUUAUAAAUAAUUUCAUUUAUUUAAAAUUUAAAAUAAUAUUUAAUUUUCUAUAAAAAUAUAAUUUUAAAUAAAAUAAAAUUAGAAUUAAUGAUAAAAUUAGUAUAUAAAAUAAAAUUAUAAAAAAAAAAUUAUUAUAAUUAAUAAAAAGGAAUUCGGCAAAAAUUUAUGUUCACUUGUUUAUCAAAAACAUGUCUUUUUGAAAAUAAUUUAAAGUCUAAUCUGCCCACUGAAUUUAUUUAAAGGGCUGCAGUAUAUUGACUGUACAAAGGUAGCAUAAUCAUUAGUCUUUUAAUUGGAGACUUGUAUGAAAGAUUUGAUGAGAUAUAAACUGUCUCUUUAUUAAAAAUAGAAUUUAAUUUUUUAGUUAAAAAGCUAAAAUUUAUAUAAAAGACGAGAAGACCCUAUAGAUCUUUAUAUUUAAUUUUUUAUUUUUAUUAUAUAAAAUUUAAAAUUAAUAUAAAAUUAAAUAUUUUAUUGGGGUGAUAGAAAAAUUUAAUAAACUUUUUUUAAAAAUUAAACAUUAAUUUAUGAAUUUUUGAUCCAUAAUUUAUGAUUACAAGAUUAAGUUACCUUAGGGAUAACAGCGUAAUUUUUUUUUUUAGUUCAUAUAAGAAAAAGAGUUUGCGACCUCGAUGUUGGAUUAAGAUAAAAUUUAAAUGCAAAAGUUUAAAAUUUUGAUCUGUUCGAUCAUUAAAAUCUUACAUGAUCUGAGUUCAAACCGGCGUAAGCCAGGUUGGUUUCUAUCUUUAUAAAAAUAAAAUAGUUUAGUACGAAAGGAUCAAUUAUUUUAAAUAAUUUAAAAAUAAGAAUAUUAUUAAUAUAAUUUU
Molecule: ribosomal RNA, 1318 nt
Filed under: Appias lyncida
Lineage: Eukaryota; Metazoa; Arthropoda; Insecta; Lepidoptera; Pieridae
Description: 16S ribosomal RNA
Rfam family: Eukaryotic large subunit ribosomal RNA (bases 1068-1226)
Source: RNAcentral